AGUGAACGCUGGCGGUAGGCCUAACACAUGCAAGUCGAACGGCGGCACAGUAAGAGCUUGCUCUUACGGGUGGCGAGUGGCGGACGGGUGAGGAAUACAUCGGAAUCUACUUUUUCGUGGGGGAUAACGUAGGGAAACUUACGCUAAUACCGCAUACGACCUACGGGCGAAAGCAGGGGAUCUUCGGACCUUGCGCGAUUGAAUGAGCCGAUGUCGGAUUAGCUAGUUGGCGGGGUAAAGGCCCACCAAGGCGACGAUCCGUAGCUGGUCUGAGAGGAUGAUCAGCCACACUGGAACUGAGACACGGUCCAGACUCCUACGGGAGGCAGCAGUGGGGAAUAUUGGACAAUGGGCGCAAGCCUGAUCCAGCCAUACCGCGUGGGUGAAGAAGGCCUUCGGGUUGUAAAGCCCUUUUGUUGGGAAAGAAAAGCAGCAGGUUAAUACCCCGCUGUUCUGACGGUACCCAAAGAAUAAGCACCGGCUAACUUCGU
RNAcentral lists this ribosomal RNA (491 nucleotides) under uncultured bacterium. RNAcentral describes it as "partial 16S ribosomal RNA". It matches the Rfam family "Bacterial small subunit ribosomal RNA", at positions 29 to 506 of the family's 1533-position model. The record is from RNAcentral.